Molecule: long non-coding RNA, 1333 nt
Organism: Oncorhynchus tshawytscha (Chinook salmon)
Lineage: Eukaryota; Metazoa; Chordata; Actinopteri; Salmoniformes; Salmonidae
Source: Ensembl
GUUUGUGAUAAAACGAGACACACAUUGGGGAGGGAAGAUCCAUACAUAGAUCGUGACCCAGCCUCCUACUCGGUACAGUAACUUUCCCUGUUCCAAGAGGAACAAGUACACAGGGGCUCUUGUGAUUAAAAAAACAAAAACAAAUUGAUGGGGUCUAAAAACAUAGAGACAUGGGACUGUGAGAAAAUAACUUCAAGGGUGAGAGGCUAACUUGACGAAGAAGGGCUACGCCAUGUUACAUCCUGGCCAGAAACGUCGACUCUCUUGGGAUUUCAUCGUCUCCAUUGAGAAAGGUAGCCAGCCUAUAGGCCUAUCACCCCUGGACCACGAAAAUCACCACCUCUUUGUCUGUUCUCGUGUUAAGCGCAAGAUGUUCGUGGUGGGGGCUCAGAGCAGUGUGAAUAACUACUACUGACGUAACUCACAAAACAGAUGGACGUGACAUAUGAAGAGUGCUGAAUGUAUUUCUAUCCUAAUUUACAAUUACAUGUGGAAUUGUUGUAUUCAUUUGAUGGGUAUAGACUGUAAGUCAUGUCCCUUUGAUGCACGCUCAUAAGAUCUCAAAUGCUGAAAUAUCUUUUCAUUGGUUGUAAACGUUUUUGCCACAUUUUUGUUGUUGUUGCUGUCUUUAAUUUAGAGAUGAAUUCUGAUGGACCUUUAUAAAAUGGCACUAUAGUUGGUAAAGUUAAGUCAUAAGCUAUCUAAGCAGGAUGAUACAUAAAAUAGGCUACCUCUUAAUGAAUAACCCCUGUUUGAGUAAUAUCCUAUCACCUGAAGAGAUAUAUUAAUAAUGUAAGAAUAUUCUGUCAAUUUGCUACUAUGCCAAAUAGGCUACGUUACAAAAGUGAGAUAAACGUCUGAAACGCCAGUUCAUCCAAGCCAUUACGUAGGCGCUACCUAUCACGUAUAUAUCGAAUGAUCUUCACUUCUGUCAAAGAAUGCAAAUGGUUGAAUGAUGACUUGUCAAAAGUCAAUCGUUUUUUCCUACUGUGCACAUUUUGCUGAGCACAUUGCAUUGGUAAAAUGUUCUAAGGCAUUUGUGGUUUGUUCAUAUUUCAUGUUUAGUUUACAUGUCGGUGCAGGCAUACAGCUAAUAGACUAUGGCGACAGCGGGGUGUCUUCCAGGCAAGAAUAUCCCAGGAUACACUGUUGUGAGACGCUCUGUCUGGAUUGCAGGCUGACGCACUGUACAUCAAAAUGCCCAACAACAAGUCUACAUUUUUCCACAGUCGUGACAUCGCGCAAAGGAGACGCAUAUUCUCUCAAUAAUCAUGUUCGAGAUGUCAUUGUGGCUCACAAAUGUACAGUGCAACGGAAUAAAAUGUUAGAAAUU